GCCUCAGCUCACAGAAAGGGGACAGAGCGGUGGCUGCUCCACAGAAGGCCGGCUCCCUGCCCUCCUCACGGCCAGACGGCAGGGCAGGGAGCCGCGGUCAGGGCGCAGGCAAAGCCCCACCACCCUCGUCUCCUGAGCCCAAGGAGGCUGAGGAAUGAUUUACCGGGUUGGCUCAGCCCUCCAGCUUCCCUCUUCUUGGAGCCAGCCCGCCCAGUGUUCUGACCUGCUGCCUGCACCCAAGGGGAAGGACUGUGCUUCUCCAGUACUGCCUGUGCCCAGACAGACAACUACAUCUAACGCUGGGUGAAGUGGGAGCAAGACCAAUGCUGCUUUCUCGGAUCUGCUCUAAAAGCAAUACACGUGAUAUCUUAUCUCCAAUUCUUGGAUCCUGCAGCUACCUUUCAAUUUAUCCUGAAUUUGGGAAGGGGAGUGAAAAAAUAAUCAUUCCUUCCCGUAAAAUUAAAUUCCACAGGAGUGGAAUUAGUCUGGCAUUCAAUGGGCCUAGGAAACUAGGGUAUAGGGAGGAGGGGCAUGGCUUUGAAAUUGGCCCAGGUCUAAAUUUUGGCUAUGAAUUUGACCAGGGAUCAACCACCCUGGGCUCAGCUUCCUCGUCUGAAACAUACCACCUGUCAGGACUCUUGGCUGUAAAUGAAAGCUCCUCUGGCUAAACUGAAAAGGAAUUUGUUAAAGGAGGUGAGGCAGUUUCCCUCUGUCCCCUGCAGGUCCCCCAAUCUCGGAGUCGGCUGGAGAAAAGGCUUAGCGCUUCCCUAUCGGGACGAAGCCCACACCCAACCUCGGGCCAGCCCUGGGCACCCAGAGUGGCCUCUAUUCCUGGCGCAGGCAGUGCCCUCGGGCACCUGCUCCUGCCUUGUGCAGCAGCGCUUGGAGAGCGGCACACAGCGAGCUCUGAUUGGCAGAGCUGAAGCCACGUGAUGCGCCCCCGCACGGCAUGCUGGGAAAGAACUUGGAUUCCGCCUUAGGCAUGGCAGCGUUGGGGUCUGAUGCUGAGGUUCCUCAACGCAGGAGCAGGUUCCGCCUGCUGCUGUUCCAAGGCUCCCAGGUCCCCUAAGGUCGUGCCCUCCUCCCCAACCAAGGCACUCUCCAGGGGAGGUGACAAAGGUGGCAGUGGAGGAGGUGGAGGAGGAGAAACACC
Long non-coding RNA from Hippopotamus amphibius kiboko, 1153 nucleotides. RefSeq lists it as uncharacterized. NCBI's taxonomy places the organism in Eukaryota, Metazoa, Chordata, Mammalia, Artiodactyla, Hippopotamidae. The record is from RefSeq and is a predicted model, not a curated record. The transcript has 3 exons.